Molecule: ribosomal RNA, 693 nt
Filed under: uncultured Bacilli bacterium
Lineage: Bacteria; Bacillati; Bacillota; Bacilli
Description: bacterial SSU rRNA
Rfam family: Bacterial small subunit ribosomal RNA
Source: RNAcentral
AAUACAUGCAAGUCGAACGCACUCUCGUUUAGAUUGAAGGAGCUUGCUCCUGAUUGAUAAACAUUUGAGUGAGUGGCGGACGGGUGAGUAACACGUGGGUAACCUGCCCUAAAGUGGGGGAUAACAUUUGGAAACAGAUGCUAAUACCGCAUAAAACCUAACACCGCAUGGUGUAGGGUUGAAAGAUGGUUUCGGCUAUCACUUUAGGAUGGACCCGCGGUGCAUUAGUUAGUUGGUGAGGUAAAGGCUCACCAAGACCGUGAUGCAUAGCCGACCUGAGAGGGUAAUCGGCCACACUGGGACUGAGACACGGCCCAGACUCCUACGGGAGGCAGCAGUAGGGAAUCUUCCACAAUGGACGAAAGUCUGAUGGAGCAACGCCGCGUGAGUGAAGAAGGUUUUCGGAUCGUAAAACUCUGUUGUUGGAGAAGAAUGUAUCUGAUAGUAACUGAUCAGGUAGUGACGGUAUCCAACCAGAAAGCCACGGCUAACUACGUGCCAGCAGCCGCGGUAAUACGUAGGUGGCAAGCGUUGUCCGGAUUUAUUGGGCGUAAAGCGAGCGCAGGCGGUUUCUUAAGUCUGAUGUGAAAGCCUUCGGCUCAACCGAAGAAGUGCAUCGGAAACUGGGAAACUUGAGUGCAGAAGAGGACAGUGGAACUCCAUGUGUAGCGGUGAAAUGCGUAGAUAUAUGGA